Molecule: long non-coding RNA, 3066 nt
Filed under: Homo sapiens (human)
Lineage: Eukaryota; Metazoa; Chordata; Mammalia; Primates; Hominidae
Description: HSALNT0342895
Source: RNAcentral
GCCCUCCUCCUAAGACAUCCUCUUCUUACAUUCCACUGAACAGAAAACCAUCCCUUCUACUGGCAUGAACUUCUGCCCAAUGAGGCAUUUGCUGCAGCAAGAGCACAGAAAGCACUCUGUGGAUGCAUGCCAGCUGAAAUUGUUAUAGGUCACCCGCUGCACUUCUGGGUCGAUGGCAUUGUGGCAUCCUUGACACACCUAUUAAGAAAUAAUACAAGAGAAGAGGGUGAGAGAUCAAGCUGUAAUGGUAACAUUUUCAUCUUAGGACAUAUUUCUUUAGAUGAUAAAUUAAAACUCAUAAUGACAACCUCAGAAAUACACAAUGGAGGGUGGCCUUCUAGCUAACCUUUUUGGCCAACUGUUAAUGGAGGUCAAUAUUCUGAGCAGCCUGAGAAAUAACGAGUGAAGGCCAAACAGGUGAUUUGAUGCAUGUAAGAUAACUUCAUGGCAUUCAAGGCAGAAAGUCUUGAUGGGAAGUUCCAAAGCAGUGUGCUUAGUUCUGAUGUAUUUUAUUAGAUUGCACAUUUGUAAUUACACAGAAGUUUAUGAUUUUUCCUUGUUCAUUAAAGCUUUGAAGUGGUAAUUUUACCUGUCUUACCUAUGACACAUGAGAUUAUUAACACCACUAAUUUCUAGACAGUAGUAAAUUAAAAUCAUGUUCAAAGUAAUUAAGGACUCAAUUAAAAAUACUGACAGUGUUUGAGAAAAAUGAAUUUGCACUAAAAAUAUAACUUGUAGUUAAUUGGCUUCUAUUCUGUCAUAAGAUCAGUCAUAAUUUAUGUGUAAUCUAAUAUUGUAGAACAUUAAUACUUACAAUCCCUGUACCAUUCAGUAUGUGUUAUGUAUAUAUACAUGACAUACAAACAUGUAUAUACAUACACAAACAUACAUACAUUUACACCACAAAAUUUUCUUCUUAUUCAAACAUGCACAUGAGGAAAAUGAAUAAAUAACCUAUGUUAUAGCAGAAAACAGAAAACCAGUUCGGACCUCUGAAACACUGGAUAGUCCAUGCCUUAUAGUUUAUACAUGUUCUGAAUGAAUAUGGCUGUCUUAAAGUUUUUGUUUUAAAUAUUUCAUAACAAGUGAAGAAGCCAGCAAGACUGUCUGGUAUCACAGUGACUAAUCUUAAGCACCCUUGGUCUCGUAAUGUGAUUGUCAGGAAUUACUGAGGGAUAAGGGGUGGGAACAGGUGAGUGGAGGUCAUUCAGCUUGAGCCUCCUUACUUGAAAAGACUUCAAAAUGUGGCUGCUACUCACUGGGUAAUUGGUUUAGGCAGUGAAGUGAGGCCUGGUUAUAUAUGUCCAUUUCAGACCUGCAUAUUUUUGUUACAUUGCUUCUGAUUACAGAGAUUAUAGCUCUGUAAUCUAUAAGUUAGGUCAACCCAGUCUUCCCUGAGAUACAAUGAAAAUUCUUUGAUCAACACACUAUUCCUGAAUACUAUAAAAAUGAACGUUUCAAUUACAAGCACAUUUCUAAUGUGCAGCUGCACCAUGCAAGCAACUGCUUUUUGUAUAUAUUUUUAUAGCUUUAUUAUGCAUUUAGAAUGUCUUAUUUUCUGCAUUUCAUAUUAAUCUUUCCAUUUUAAAAUUUAUGAUCAACACAUAAUUGUACAUAUUUAUGGGUGUACUAUGUGAUGUUUCAAUACAUGUAUACAUAGUGUAGUGAUCAAAUCAGGGUAAUUAGGAUAUCCCUCUCCUUAAACAUUUAUGAUUUCCUUGUGAUAAGAACAGUCUUUCAAUAUUUCUUGUUUAUGUAUUUUGAAUGUGUUCUUGUAAAAUACACCGUGUGUUUUAUUCCCUUGCUUUCAGACCAUGAUCUAUCUUCUUUUUCUCAGACCUGUGAUUUUUUAAAAUUACCCAAAACACACAUUUUCAGUUGCAAUUUACAAAAAAGAGAUAACUAAUGUUCAAUUACACAUGAAAUUAAGAAAAUUAAGCAAAAAGAUAAUUAGUACACAUAAAUGGUAUAGAGAAUUAAAGUCUGGGGUUUCAUAAAAUUUCAUUUUACUAAUAAUUUGAUUACCAUUCAUUCAAAAUCUGACAUGUAAUCACAGGUCGAAUCUACUGUUCCCUAAUUCCUCAAAAAUCUAAAAUUGGCCCAGGCUGCGCCAAGGGCCUGGGGACUGCAGAACCCUUCAGGGAGAUGAUGUGCUUCACCACUUCCUGCCUGCCAUUUGAUCUUCCCAUGUUCCUAAACCUUUAAUAUUUCAAAGAAUUCUUAUUUCCUUCAAUCCCUCUUCUUAUUUGUACACAGGAUGUAAAAGAGCUAAUGACACCUGUUGUAAUGAGCUCUCUGCAGGAGUGUCCUAUGAAUCUGACGGAUGUGAAUUCUGGGGGUAACUAUGGAGUUCUAGUGACUACACAGAGACAAAGUAGGUGCAUCUGCCAUGUUUUUUCCUUCCAGGUACUUUUUUUUUUUUUUCUCAGAAAUGUUGUUUGGAGUUGAGCACUUGAUUUCAGGUCUAAAAAUAAUUUGUAUUUUCUCUCUUUAAGAUGAAAAGAUCUAAGCAGAUCAAUGCCCUGAACUAGAUAACCUUCUCCAAAUUUUAUAUAAUGUAGCAUGCUGUGUGGGUAGCUCUCUUUGCUGUUAGCUGGAAUCUGUUCUGGCAAUGGAUAUGUAUGCUCAUUUUAAUAUUAGGCAAAGGCCAAUGGUAUAUCCCACUGAGAAAGUAAACAUAAAAGAAAUGAUGCUACACACACACACACACACACACACACACACACACACACAUAUAUAUAUAUUUUUUUUGAGACGGAGUGUCGCACUAUCAAUCACCUGGGCUUGGGGUGCAGUGGCAGGAUCUCGGCUCAUUGCAACCUCCACCUCCCAGGUUCAAGCAAUUCUCCUGCCUCAGCCUCCCAAGUAGCUGGAAUUACAGGCACCUGCCACCACGCCCAGCUAAUUUUUUUGUAUUUUUAAUAGAGACGGGGUUUCACCAUGUUGGCCAGGCUGGUCUCGAACUCCUGACCUCAUGAUUCGCCCACCUUGGCCUCCCAAAGUGCUGGGAUUACAGGCGUGAGCCACCAUGCCUGGCCAAAAUGAUGCUAUGCUAUAAAACUAAAU